UUGGAGGGCAAGUCUGGUGCCGGCAGCCGCGGUAAUUCCAGCUCCAAUAGCGUAUAUUAAAGUUGUUGCAGUUAAAAAGCUCGUAGUUGAAUUUCGGGGUUAGUAGGUUGGUCAUGCCUCUGGUAUGUACUGGUCUCACUGAUUCCUCCUUCCUGAUGAACCUUAAUGCCAUUAAUUUGGUGUUUUGGGGAAUUUGGACUGUUACUUUGAAAAAAUUAGAGUGUUUAAAGCAAGCUAACGCUUGAAUACAUUAGCAUGGAAUAAUGAAAUAGGACGUUCGAUCCUAUUUUGUUGGUUUCUAGGAUUGACGUAAUGAUUAAUAGGGAUAGUUGGGGGCAUUAGUAUUCAAUUGUCAGAGGUGAAAUUCUUGGAUUUAUUGAAGACUAACUACUGCGAAAGCAUUUGCCAAGGAUGUUUUCAUUAAUCAAGAACGAAAGUUAGGGGAUCGAAGACGAUCAGAUACCGUCGUAGUCUUAACCAUAAACUAUGCCGACUAGGGAUCGGAUGAUGUUAAUUUUUUAAUGACUCAUUCGGCGCCUUACGGGAAAC
This 549-nucleotide ribosomal RNA is filed under the name uncultured Glomeromycotina. RNAcentral's name for it is "SSU rRNA". It matches the Rfam family "Eukaryotic small subunit ribosomal RNA", at positions 548 to 1098 of the family's 1831-position model. The record is from RNAcentral. Lineage: Eukaryota; Fungi; Glomeromycota.